GGGAUCGAGUACUUAGAACUGUGGGCUUCUACUAAUAUCCUUUCUCUCAAUCCAUCAAUAUUAGGAACACAUAACUGACAUUGAUAGUGAAGGACACCAUCUCCCACUUGAGAUAAACCUUAACCUUUUGCUGUUGAAUCGCAUCCAUUAUCUGGAUAAGUAUGGGAUCAUUACACUGUUUCUCUUUCACUUCCACUACUAAGGAUGACUCUAAACCAGUCUAAACCACUAUAUCCC
RNAcentral lists this long non-coding RNA (237 nucleotides) under Capsicum annuum. RNAcentral describes it as "long non-coding RNA (CANN_LNC019168)". Lineage: Eukaryota; Viridiplantae; Streptophyta; Magnoliopsida; Solanales; Solanaceae. The record is from RNAcentral.